Molecule: ribosomal RNA, 535 nt
Filed under: Lineaspis striata
Lineage: Eukaryota; Metazoa; Arthropoda; Insecta; Hemiptera; Diaspididae
Description: eukaryotic LSU rRNA
Source: RNAcentral
AUCUGGGCGGCGGAAUUCAGGAUGGCCGGCGGGUUUCGCGCUCGUCCGGCCGUUUGAUAUUUCCGUCGCCAUUUCGGACGUCGCGACCUGUUGGUCGCCGGUCCCUGCUCGGAGGAGGCGCGAUCGAGUUCGUUGCGCGGCGCGUUUCGGCGCGUCGCGCGGCGAAGACGCGACUCUCUGGCCGGCGGCGGACAGUAAGCAACGGUGUGCGGCGUCGUGUCUCGCACUCGGCGCCGUCGCCGGUCCGCGACGAUUUCUUCGGGCCUCUUUCCGACCCGUCUUGAAACACGGACCAAGGAGUCUAACGUGCGCGCGAGUCGCGGGGUUUCGAGCGUGCCACGGUGCGCUCGUCACUCGCGAAACCCGUACGUUGAAGGCGUUAAUGAAAGUGAACAGGGAAGAUGGCGUUCCGAGUCCACGUACCGUGAUCAUCGAGUGUCGCGGCCGGACGUCCGCACUCCCGGGGCGUCUCAAUGGCUCGUCGCGGAUGCGGGCGGUCGUCUUUCGGGGCGGCCGCCGGUCUGCGCCGGACCGA